RNAcentral lists this ribosomal RNA (460 nucleotides) under uncultured bacterium. Its description in RNAcentral is "partial 16S ribosomal RNA". It matches the Rfam family "Bacterial small subunit ribosomal RNA", at positions 338 to 795 of the family's 1533-position model. The record is from RNAcentral.
CCUACGGGAGGCAGCAGUGAGGAAUAUUGGUCAAUGGGCGGAAGCCUGAACCAGCCAAGUCGCGUGAGGGAAUAAGGCCCUACGGGUCGUAAACCUCUUUUGCCGGGGAGCAAGGGCGGGGACGUGUACCGGCACGGAGAGUACCCGGAGAAAAAGCAUCGGCAAACUCCGUGCCAGCAGCCGCGGUAAUACGGAGGAUGCGAGCGUUAUCCGGAUUUAUUGGGUUUAAAGGAUGCGUAGGCGGGCUUGUAAGUCAGCGGUAAAAUCUCGGGGCUCAACCCCGCCCGGCCGUUGAAACUGGGGGCCUUGAGUGGGCGAGAAGAAGGCGGAAUGCGUGGUGUAGCGGUGAAAUGCAUAGAUAUCACGCAGAACCCCGAUUGCGAAGGCAGCCUUCCGGCGCCCUACUGACGCUGAGGCACGAAAGUGCGGGGAUCGAACAGGAUUAGAUACCCGAGUAGUC